RNAcentral lists this ribosomal RNA (446 nucleotides) under uncultured bacterium. Its description in RNAcentral is "SSU rRNA". It matches the Rfam family "Bacterial small subunit ribosomal RNA", at positions 26 to 518 of the family's 1533-position model. The record is from RNAcentral.
AGAGCGAACGCUGGCGGCAGGCCUAACACAUGCAAGUCGAGCGCGUGUAGCAAUACACGAGCGGCAGACGGGAGAGUAACACGUGGGAACGCGCCCUUCGGUUCGGAAUAACUCAGGGAAACUUGAGCUAAUACCGGAUACGCCCUUACGGGGAAAGAUUUAUUGCCGAAGGAACGGCCCGCGUCCGAUUAGCUAGUUGGUGAGGUAACGGCUCACCAAGGCGACGAUCGGUAGCUGGUCUGAGAGGAUGACCAGCCUCACUGGGACUGAGACACGGCCCAGACUCCUACGGGAGGCAGCAGUGGGGAAUAUUGGACAAUGGGCGCAAGCCUGAUCCAGCCAUGCCGCGUGGAUGAUGAAGGCCUUAGGGUUGUAAAGUCCUUUUAACGGGGAAGAUAAUGACGGUACCGUAGAAUAAGCCCGGCUAACUUCGCGCCAGCAGCCGC